This 255-nucleotide ribosomal RNA is filed under the name uncultured bacterium. RNAcentral describes it as "partial 16S ribosomal RNA". It matches the Rfam family "Bacterial small subunit ribosomal RNA", at positions 79 to 334 of the family's 1533-position model. The record is from RNAcentral.
CUUUCCUUGAUGACGACUGGCGCACGGGUGAGUAACGCGUAUCCAACCUUCCCAUAACUACGGGAUAACCCGUUGAAAGACGGCCUAAUACCGGAUGAUAUCGUUUGCUGACAUCAAAUAACGAUUAAAGGUUUAGCGGUUAUGGAUGGGGAUGCGUCUGAUUAGCUUGUUGGCGGGGUAACGGCCCACCAAGGCGACGAUCAGUAGGGGUUCUGGGAGGAAGGUCCCCCACAUUGGAACUGAGACACGGUCCAA